UACAGAGACUGCAAGCGUUAUUCGGAUUCACUGGGCGUAAAGGGUGCGCAGGUGGCUAGGUGUGUGAGGCGUGAAAGCCCGGGGCUUAACCCCGGAAUUGCACCUCAAACUACUUGGCUAGAGCAUUGGAGAGGGGAGCAGAAUUCACGGUGUAGCAGUGAAAUGCGUAGAUAUCGUGAGGAAUACCAGAGGCGAAGGCGGCUCCCUGGACAAUUGCUGACACUCAGGCACGAAAGCGUGGGGAGCAAAAGGG
This 253-nucleotide ribosomal RNA is filed under the name uncultured bacterium. RNAcentral's name for it is "partial 16S ribosomal RNA". It matches the Rfam family "Bacterial small subunit ribosomal RNA", at positions 524 to 776 of the family's 1533-position model. The record is from RNAcentral.